AUUGAACGCUGGCGGCAGGCCUAACACAUGCAAGUCGAACGAGUGGCGGACGGGUGAGUAAUGUCUGGGAAACUGCCUGAUGGAGGGGGAUAACUACUGGAAACGGUAGCUAAUACCGCAUACCAUCGGAUGUGCCCAGAUGGGAUUAGCUAGUAGGUGGGGUAAAGGCUCACCUAGGCGACGAUCCCUAGCUGGUCUGAGAGGAUGACCAGCCAGACGGGAACGGAGACAAGGUCCAGAUUCGUAGGGGAGGUAGGAGGGGGGAAUAAUGCAGAAUGGGCGCAAGCGGGACAGAGCCACGCCGAGUGUAUGAAGAAGGCCAUCGGGUAGUAAAGGACUUUCAGCGGCGAGGCGUUACCCGCAGAAGAAGCAACGGCUAACUCCGGGCCAGCAGCCGCGGUAAUUC
This 406-nucleotide ribosomal RNA is filed under the name uncultured bacterium. RNAcentral's name for it is "partial 16S ribosomal RNA". It matches the Rfam family "Bacterial small subunit ribosomal RNA", at positions 29 to 526 of the family's 1533-position model. The record is from RNAcentral.